UACGUAGGGAGCAAGCGUUGUUCGGAUUUACUGGGCGUAAAGGGCGCGUAGGCGGCAAAUCAAGUCAGCUGUGAAAUCUCUGGGCUUAACUCAGAACGGUCAACUGAUACUGUCGGGCUAGAGUGCAGAAGGGGCAACUGGAAUUCUCGGUGUAGCGGUGAAAUGCGUAGAUAUCGAGAGGAACACCUGCGGCGAAGGCGGGUUGCUGGGCCGACACUGACGCUGAUGCGCGAAAGCCAGGGGAGCAAACGGG
RNAcentral lists this ribosomal RNA (253 nucleotides) under uncultured bacterium. RNAcentral describes it as "partial 16S ribosomal RNA". It matches the Rfam family "Bacterial small subunit ribosomal RNA", at positions 524 to 776 of the family's 1533-position model. The record is from RNAcentral.